This 785-nucleotide ribosomal RNA is filed under the name uncultured organism. Its description in RNAcentral is "bacterial SSU rRNA". It matches the Rfam family "Bacterial small subunit ribosomal RNA", at positions 629 to 1411 of the family's 1533-position model. The record is from RNAcentral.
AAUACUGCUCGACUAGAAUUUUCUCAAGGGAGAUCGGAAAUGAGGGAGGAGUAGUGAAACGCGCUGAUACCCUCGGGAACACCAGUGGCGUAGCCGGAUCUCAGGGAGAAGAUCGACACUGAGACACGAAAGCUAGGGGACCGAAGCAGAUUAGAGACCUGCGUAGUCAUAGCCGUAAACGCAUGCAGGCGAGCGGCAUGAAGGGACCUUCGGGAGGUAUCGAGUGGCGAAGGUAACCCGUUAAGCAAGCCGCCUGGAAAGUACGCCCGCAAGGCUGAAAUUCAAAGGAAAUGGCGGGGAGGCACACAACCAGUGGGACACGUGGCUUAAUUCGAGACUAACCGAAGAACCUCACCAGGGUUUGACAUGUAGCUGCACGUCUUAAGAGAUUAAGACUCUCUUGAAGGUGCUACACAGGUGAUGCAUGGCUGUCGUCAGCUCGUUCCGUGAGGAGUGCCUUUAAGUGGGACAACGAGCGCAACCCGUAUUACAUGUUAGAAAUGUCAUGUAAGACUGCCUUGCCAUUUGACGGGGAGGAAGGAGGGGCAGACGUCAAGUCAGCAUGGUCCUUAUGUCAUGGGCUACACACAUGUUACAAUGAGUACGGCAAUGAGUCUGUCGUGAGCACGUAAGCGUAAGCUAAUCUCUUAAAUGUACUAUCAGUGGGGAUUGAGGUCUGCUACUUGACCUCAUGACCACGGACUUGGUAGUAAUCAGCGGGUCAGCUAUACCCGCGGUGAUACGUUCUUGCCUCUUGCACACACCGCCCGUCAGACCAGCAAAGU